Molecule: long non-coding RNA, 945 nt
Organism: Marmota monax (woodchuck)
Lineage: Eukaryota; Metazoa; Chordata; Mammalia; Rodentia; Sciuridae
Exons: 3
Source: RefSeq, a predicted model, not a curated record
GGAACAUGAAACAAAUCGGCAAAGCACGGAAAGCGGAUUUUUCUUCCCAUUCUACUUAGCUGCGCUUCGUUCCUGCCCCUCCUCGCUCUAGAUGGCCCGACCAGCCACACUCUGCAGGGUCUCACUAAGUUGCCCAGAUGGCCUUGAACUUGUGAACCUCCUGCCUCAGCCUCCUGAGUUAACUGGCAUUACAGGCCUGUGUCCACCACCCUGGUUUUGGCCACCUUAACUUCUGGACAGUUAUGGCGGUCUCCCAGCCCACUGGCUAACGAAGCAGAAAGCCUUCCCUCACCGCAGGCACUAGCCCUCUCUACCCAGGAAACAGCUAGGACCAAGGCAGACUACCGCCUGGUUCCUCUGCAGUACGGGAGCUUGAACCCAGGGCCUCCCACAGGCCAGGAGAGCGCUGAGCUACAUCCCAGCACCUUUGUUUUGAGAUAGGACCUUGCUAAGUGGCUGGGUCUGGCUUCAAACUUGUCAUCCUCCUGCCUCAGCCUCCUGAGUAGCUGGGAUUACAGGUGUGCGCCACCAUGCCCGACUCCCCAUUCUGUUUUAAUUAGUUUCUCCCUAACCAAAAAAAUAAAAAAUGAAAUAAAAUAAAUUUAAAAUAACCUUUGGGCUGGGGAUGUGGCUCAAGUGGUAGCGCUCUCGCCUGGCAUGCGUGCGGCCCAGGUUCGAUCCUCAGCACCACAUACAAACAAAGAUGUUGUGUCUGUCGAAAACUAAAAAAUAAAUAUUAAAAUUCUCUCUCUCUCUAAAAAUAAAUAAAUAAAUAAAUAAAAUAAAAUAACCUGAAAAUCACUUAAGAAUUAUGAAAUAUAUUAUGUCAGAUUCCUACACACACUUAAUCAUUUCCAUGGGGGAAACAAUUAGGAAUGAUAUUGGGUAAAAAAGGUAGUAAUACAUUUGUGUUAUAGCCUGGUCUGAACUCUGUAAAAAAGUGCU